AGGCCGGACUGAGCUCGCGGUGCGGUACUUCCCUUCAGCUGUCCUUCUACACACAAUAGUUCGAAGAUGGAGAAGCUCUACACAGUCAGCAAAAACAAGGCCUGGAGCUGACCGUGGCUCAGAUCAUCAACUCCAUGACUGGAAGAUCAAACCUAUCAAUCCUAAAGAAAGUCAACCCUGAAUUGGAAGGACUGAUGCUUAAGCAGAAGCUCUAAUACUUUGGCCUCCUGAUGUGAAGAGAGGACUCACUGGAAAAGACUCUGAUGCUGGGAAAGAAAGAUUGAAGGCAAAAGGAGAAGAGGGUGGCAAAGGAUGAGAUGAUUAGAUAGCAUCACCAACUCAAUGGACAAGAAUUUUAGUAAACUCUGGGAGAUAGUGAAGGACAGGGUAGCCUGGCAUGCUUCAUUCAUGGGGUCACAAAGAGUCGGAGACAACUUAGUGAGAGAGCAACAAACCUUUGAGUAGGAAAUACGAAAUCCUUUCUACUGAAGUUGACUUAAAUUCUGCCCCUAACCCAUGAGGAUGAGAGAAAACUAUUUUACAAAAUGUAGAGAAAUGGGCAGUUUGCCAUUUGCACACAAAAUACUGAGACUUGGUAUAAAUCUUUUUAAGCUGCUGUUUCUCUGGUAAGAAUGAGAGUGGAUCUGUGACUAAAUCAGAAAGGAGUGUAGCCCUAUUUCUUGGGUAAGGUGCACAGAAGGAUGUAGAUUUAGAAGGGGAUAGAGAAUUAUACCAACAGGCACUUCCCUUCACUGGGGUAGGAGAACUCUUCCUUGCCCCACUGAAACUGGACUUUAUAUAACUUGCUCCGGCCAAUGAUGUGUGGGCAGAAGUAGCAUCUGUCACUUCAGGCAGAAGCUUGAAGACUCACAUUUGUUUUUUCCCUCUACCAUAAUGACCAGCAACUUCUCAGACAGGCUGCUCUGUCAGCCUAGAACUGGAGUGAAGAAGAUGUGAAGUUGAGUUUCAGCCAAGUUACACUGAGAAGGUGACAGGAGUAAGAAGGAAAUCUGUGUUUUGAGAUCUGGGCACCAUAUCACCCAAGCCUACCCUAGUCUGUUCUAACUGAUAUGUCUGCCAUUUAAAGC
Molecule: long non-coding RNA, 1088 nt
Organism: Bos taurus (domestic cattle)
Lineage: Eukaryota; Metazoa; Chordata; Mammalia; Artiodactyla; Bovidae
Source: Ensembl